UCAAACUGGAUCUCUGACCAUCACAGACACCACAACUCAACACGCUGGAGAUUAUAAACUGCAGAUAUUUAAACUAGAACAGUCAUUAAAAGAUUUCAGAGUUUCUGUUUAUGUUUCUGAACACUGCUGUGGUUCUACUGAAGCUGUGAUCCGAUUGGCCCUCUCUGCACUGGUGGGCGUGGCUACCGUCCUUCUUCUAGUUUAUGACAUAAGAUCCAGAAGAGAUAAACAACAUCAAACACAUAUUCACACAACAGAAAGUAUUGAAAUCUAAAGCAGAACGUCGUUCUUUAUUGGUUCUUCAUGUGUGUUUUUUUAUUCUUGUAGUGUUUCUGUCAUAAUGACUGAGUUUGUACUCUUUCUUUCAACAUCAAGCUGCAUCAGGUGUAUUUGAUUAGGGUUGAAGCUAAACUGUAUGGGACGGUCCCCAGGAACAGGGUUGAAGACCUCUGUUCAUUUGUGUAAUAAUUCUAUUAUUACAGUUGUAUUAAUAACUGGUUUUAUCAGAGAAAAACUGUGAAAAUGCAACAGGAAAAAACCUGUUAAAUGAUUAAUGGUAAAUGUAAAAUU
This is a long non-coding RNA of Puntigrus tetrazona (Sumatra barb), 570 nucleotides long. RefSeq lists it as uncharacterized. The transcript is spliced from 3 exons. NCBI's taxonomy places the organism in Eukaryota, Metazoa, Chordata, Actinopteri, Cypriniformes, Cyprinidae. The record is from RefSeq and is a predicted model, not a curated record.